RNAcentral lists this ribosomal RNA (399 nucleotides) under uncultured bacterium. RNAcentral's name for it is "partial 16S ribosomal RNA". It matches the Rfam family "Bacterial small subunit ribosomal RNA", at positions 360 to 773 of the family's 1533-position model. The record is from RNAcentral.
AAUUUUCCGCAAUGGGCGAAAGCCUGACGGAGCAAUGCCGCGUGAGUGACGAAGGCCUUCGGGUUGUAAAGCUCUGUCUUCAGGGACGAAACAAAUGACGGUACCUGAGGAGGAAGCCACGGCUAACUACGUGCCAGCAGCCGCGGUAAUACGUAGGUGGCAAGCGUUGUCCGGAAUGACUGGGCGUAAAGGGCGUGUAGGUGGAUUGAUCAGUCGGAUGUGAAAUACCUGGGCUUAACCUGGGAACUGCAUUCGAUACGGUCAGUCUUGAGUGCAGGAGAGGGCAGUGGAAUUCCCAGUGUAGCGGUGAAAUGCGUAGAGAUUGGGAGGAACACCAGUGGCGAAGGCGGCUGCCUGGACUGUAACUGACACUGAGGCGCGAAAGCGUGGGGAGCAAAC